RNAcentral lists this long non-coding RNA (2291 nucleotides) under Nicotiana benthamiana. RNAcentral describes it as "long non-coding RNA (NBEN_LNC042504)". Lineage: Eukaryota; Viridiplantae; Streptophyta; Magnoliopsida; Solanales; Solanaceae. The record is from RNAcentral.
UUCACUUCUUCAUCUCUUAACCCCAAGAGACCAAAACCCUAGUCUCCCUCUCACCCCUCGCGGACUCCGCCUCUUUCCGCCGCCCGAAAUUCGCCUUACGGCGACCGAGUACCUCCAAACCGCCUCAAAUUCACACCUCGUAAUCCCUAGCUCCCUUGCUUCACUAAUCCACCAACAUUUUUACCAAAAACCCCACUAAAUUCCACCAAUUUCAAAUCUAAAAACUAUACCCAAAAAUCCUAAGUCGUCCAAACAACCUCAAAAUAACACCAGAUGACCCUCAACCAUCCCUCACCACUCUCUACUCUUGAUUUCCCAAAAAUCCCCGCCCAAUUCUUCGAGUCCCAAAUCUGUAAAAAACCAGAAACCCUAGUUCUAUUUUUUCCCUUUUUCACAUUUCUUCGGAUUGUUUCCAGACUCGGCUUAGUUGAAAAACCAUGCUAAUAAAUCGUUCUCAAUAAUAACGGUUGGUUAGAAUAUUCUUUAGCUAUAUCAAAGAAGUUCCGACUUGCCAGAUCCCUCCUGGUAUUCUUUUCUAACCUUUUUCUUGUUUCUUUAUUCUUGUUUCCCUAAUUUUUGCAUUUGUAUAACCAUAAGUUAAUUUAGUUCGUUUCUGUAUAAGUAAUUUAGUUUACUAUGAGGCUAGAAUUAAAGCUGUUCCAAGUAUGUUAACUGUUAGACAAAAGUCAGUUUAGUUUUUUAAUUUGUUUGACUUAAUCAUUCAUAGAUUAAUUAGGUUAAUUUUUGGGAUUUUAUUACAUCUGCAUUUUAGUUCUUCGUUUGAUUUACUGUUUUGCUAUGAUUGCUUGUUUGAAUAUAAUUUUGUCUGGGGUUUUGAUUAGAUUAAUCCUUUAAUUCACUAAUAGACUAGGCUAUUUAAUUUAAGGUCCAGUUAAUUUGAAGUGUAACUAAUAAUUAAAGCUUCUAAGAAUACAAUUGAAAAUAAUAUUAGGAAGUUUCAAUACUGGAAUGCUCCAGAUUAUUUUAGGAGGUUUCACAAAUAUUUAGGGCACAACUUGUUAGAAUUGAAAUAAUUAGUACUUGAAAGAGUAAAAUUGGAUUUUUACAAAGAGUAAAAUAUCAGAAUGUUCUAGCAUUUGUAUAGUCGUCUUUAUUUUCAGCAUAAAAAAUGCUAGAAUUAGACUGAAAAACAACAGACAACUAUCUAAAUAUGUUGUACUAUCUGACACUUAAGGAAUUUAGGAUAGAAUAUGUCAUUUUGAUGCUAUUUUAGCAUACCCUAUGAAAGAAAAGAUUACUCCCUCAUUUUGCAUGGAAUUGGUAGCCCAUUUAUCACCUAAAAGUUCUUUGAACAUACAGAAAAGAGACAAGAAAAUCUUCUUGUAAUUUUCUUACUCUAAAAAUUAGUUUUGGAGAGAGUUUAUAUGCUGGUUCUCUCUAGUGUUACUUGAUUCUGAUUCUGGGAAAGAUAAAAUCAGUUGUUCCUUGGUUUUAGUUUAAUUUUGAUUGUGAUGUUUGAUUCUGCUGGUUGUCCCCUUCAAAUUAGAGGUUCAUUUAUCUUGCUUUGAUUCUUGCUAGUAUAGGUAUAUAGCUUUCUCCAUCUGAGAUCAUUCAUAAAUGAAAUAUAAGGCUUGUUCUUGUUAGCCUCGUUUUUUUGGUUGCACAUAGUAUGUUAGCCUUGAGCUUGCUAGAUAUUCUCAUUUGUUGUGUAAUAUAUGGUGCUAUAAAAACUGUUAAACUGAGUUCUAGAGUAUAUUAUAAUAAUAUUUAAGUUGAUUAUUGUGAUUAAUAGUCGCAUUGUUAGUAUUAUGUCAAUAGCCCGUGCCAUAAAUACAGUUUGUUGGUCCAGAAUUGUUCGAAUGGUGGCUAUACGGAAUGGGCCAGACUUGUAAAAUUGGCCUAACUGGGGAGAUGACCUCAAACGAGUUUGAGCAUAGGCCAUUGGGUCUAAGCAUUAAGUCCAGUAGCAUGAUCCCAGGUAUGGGUUUGCCUUUUCUAAAUUGCAAUUCAUUUUUUAUGUAUUGGGAAUCAUAUAUAGUCAAUGUUAAAACUCGAAUUGUAUUCUAAACUUCUUUUUACCUCAGAAUGAAUAGAAUUCUAGCCUUGGAAAAAUGUGUGUUACGGGUGAAUUUUAUUGGUAUUGAAGAAAAAAUAGGCCAAUCAUUUAAGAGUGAUGACUGGUCCAACUUUCACCAUUUGGCCCAAUUGGACUGUUUCAUCUUAUAUCUUGGGCUUGUAACCAUUAAGCCAUACUUUUCCCUAAAAUUAGUUUGAAUUGUAUUAUUAAACACUUUGGAUGCUUACAACCAUCAUGAUUAGAUUAGAAAAAU